ACCGCAUGGUUCAAAAGUGAAAGACGGUCUUGCUGUCACUUAUAGAUGGAUCCGCGCUGCAUUAGCUAGUUGGUAAGGUAACGGCUUACCAAGGCAACGAUGCAUAGCCGACCUGAGAGGGUGAUCGGCCACACUGGAACUGAGACACGGUCCAGACUCCUACGGGAGGCAGCAGUAGGGAAUCUUCCGCAAUGGGCGAAAGCCUGACGGAGCAACGCCGCGUGAGUGAUGAAGGUCUUCGGAUCGUAAAACUCUGUUAUUAGGGAAGAACAUAUGUGUAAGUAACUGUGCACAUCUUGACGGUACCUAAUCAGAAAGCCACGGCUAACUACGUGCCAGCAGCCGCGGUAAUACGUAGGUGGCAAGCGUUAUCCGGAAUUAUUGGGCGUAAAGCGCGCGUAGGCGGUUUUUUAAGUCUGAUGUGAAAGCCCACGGCUCAACCGUGGAGGGUCAUUGGAAACUGGAAAACUUGAGUGCAGAAGAGGAAAGUGGAAUUCCAUGUGUAGCGGUGAAAUGCGCAGAGAUAUGGAGGAACACCAGUGGCGAAGGCGACUUUCUGGUCUGUAACUGACGCUGAUGUGCGAAAGCGUGGGGAUCAAACAGGAUUAGAUACCCUGGUAGUCCACGCCGUAAACGAUGAGUGCUAAGUGUUAGGGGGUUUCCGCCCCUUAGUGCUGCAGCUAACGCAUUAAGCACUCCGCCUGGGGAGUACGACCGCAAGGUUGAAACUCAAAGGAAUUGACGGGGACCCGCACAAGCGGUGGAGCAUGUGGUUUAAUUCGAAGCAACGCGAAGAACCUUACCAAAUCUUGACAUCCUUUGACAACUCUAGAGAUAGAGCCUUCCCCUUCGGGGGGCAAAGUGACAGGUGGUGCAUGGUUGUCGUCAGCUCGUGUCGUGAGAUGUUGGGUUAAGUCCCGCAACGAGCGCAACCCUUAAGCUUAGUUGCCAUCAUUAAGUUGGGCACUCUAAGUUGACUGCCGGUGACAAACCGGAGGAAGGUGGGGAUGACGUCAAAUCAUCAUGCCCCUUAUGAUUUGGGCUACACACGUGCUACAAUGGACAAUACAAAGGGCAGCGAAACCGCGAGGUCAAGCAAAUCCCAUAAAGUUGUUCUCAGUUCGGAUUGUAGUCUGCAACUCGACUACAUGAAGCUGGAAUCGCUAGUAAUCGUAGAUCAGCAUGCUACGGUGAAUACGUUCCCGGGUCUUGUACACACCGCCCGUCACACCACGAGAGUUUGUAACACCCGAAGCCGGUGGAGUAACCUUUUAGGAGCUAGCCGUCGAAGGUGGGACAAAUGAUUGGGGUGAAGUCGUAACAAGGUAGCCGUAUCGGAAGGUGCGGCUGGAUCACCUCCUUU
RNAcentral lists this ribosomal RNA (1363 nucleotides) under Staphylococcus aureus. RNAcentral describes it as "bacterial SSU rRNA". It matches the Rfam family "Bacterial small subunit ribosomal RNA", at positions 185 to 1533 of the family's 1533-position model. Lineage: Bacteria; Bacillati; Bacillota; Bacilli; Caryophanales; Staphylococcaceae. The record is from RNAcentral.